Molecule: ribosomal RNA, 644 nt
Filed under: Sminthopsis macroura (stripe-faced dunnart)
Lineage: Eukaryota; Metazoa; Chordata; Mammalia; Dasyuromorphia; Dasyuridae
Description: partial 16S large subunit ribosomal RNA
Rfam family: Bacterial large subunit ribosomal RNA
Source: RNAcentral
AGGUAGCAUAAUCACUUGUCUUUUAAAUAGGGACUAGUAUGAAUGGCAUCACGAGGGUUUAACUGUCUCUUAUUCCCAAUCAGUGAAAUUGACCUUCCCGUGCAGAGGCGGGAAUAAUAAUACAAGACGAGAAGACCCUGUGGAGCUUAAGACCAGCAACUUAACGCAUACCACUACCUACCCUACUGGAACAAAAAUGUAUAAUGCCCUGAGUUGCAGUCUUUGGUUGGGGUGACCUCGGAGCAUAAAACAACCUCCGAAUGAAAUAACCUAGAUAAACCCAUCUAAGUGUACUACUACCAGUAAUUGACCCAUUUUUUGAUCAACGGAACAAGUUACCCCAGGGAUAACAGCGCAAUCCUAUUUGAGAGCCCAUAUCGAAAAUUAGGGUUUACGACCUCGAUGUUGGAUCAGGACAUCCAAAUGGUGCAGCCGCUAUUAAUGGUUCGUUUGUUCAACGAUUAAAGUCCUACGUGAUCUGAGUUCAGACCGGAGAAAUCCAGGUCGGUUUCUAUCUGUACGUGAUUUCUCCCAGUACGAAAGGACAAGAGAAAUGGGGCCAACAUACCCAAUGAGCCCUAGAAUUAACAUAUGAAUUCAUCUAAAUAUUUUACUUCAACCCAUUUUACCCCAAGAACAGGGCU